GAUGAACGCUGGCGGCGUGCUUAACACAUGCAAGUCGAACGGUGAAGCCAAGCUUGCUUGGUGGAUCAGUGGCGAACAGGUGAGUAACACGUGAGCAAUCUGCCCUUGACUCUGGGAUAAGCGCUGGAAACGGCGUCUAAUACUGGAUAUGAGCUGUGGCCGCAUGGUCGGCAGUUGGAAAGAAUUUCGGUCAAGGAUGAGCUCGCGGCCUAUCAGUUUGUUGGUGAGGUAAUGGCUCACCAAGGCGUCGACGGGUAGCCGGCCUGAGAGGGUGACCGGCCACACGGGGACUGAGACACGGCCCAGACUCCGACGGGAGGCAGCAGUGGGGAAUAUUGCACAAUGGGCGCAAGCCUGAUGCAGCAACGCCGCGUGAGGGACGACGGCCUUCGGGUUGUAAACCUCUUUUAGCAGGGAAGAAGCGAAAGUGACGGUACCUGCAGAAAAAGCACCGGCUAACUACGUGCCAGCCGCCGCGGUAA
This 482-nucleotide ribosomal RNA is filed under the name uncultured bacterium. RNAcentral's name for it is "partial 16S ribosomal RNA". It matches the Rfam family "Bacterial small subunit ribosomal RNA", at positions 28 to 523 of the family's 1533-position model. The record is from RNAcentral.